RNAcentral lists this long non-coding RNA (694 nucleotides) under Homo sapiens (human). RNAcentral's name for it is "HSALNT0174629". The record is from RNAcentral. Lineage: Eukaryota; Metazoa; Chordata; Mammalia; Primates; Hominidae.
AGGAAGAAAAAUAUAUUUACUAUUCAUUAAGUGGAAGUCAUAACGAUCUUCAUCCUCCUCAUCUUCAUGUUGUGUAGGCCAAGGAGGAGAAGGAAGGGGGGUUGGUCUCACUGUCUCAGGAGUGGCAGAGGCAGAAUAGGUAGCAGAGGUGGAAAGAGAAGCUGGAGAGGCAGGCACACUUGGUGUAACUUUUGUUGAAAAAAAAUCUGCACAGCAGUGGAUCUGCAAAGUUUAAACCUGUGUUGUUCAAGAAUCAACUGUAUUUAGAGGAAGUGCUAAAUAUGGGAUUCAACCCUACACCAGCUCUUUCUCCUAAUUGGAAACUCACUUUCCCCUGAUGACACUAUUUUCCACGAAAGCCAUUCCCUUUCUAAUCCUGACUUUCAUAUUUCCUGACUCACUGGGUAAGGGGGUAUCUGUGUAAUCUUUGCUUUGCCCUGUAACUUCAAAUUCAGUAAAGCAGUAUCUUUCUACAACCUCUCCUCCUUCAACCACCAGCUACUAAGACGCUUUUCUGCCUUCUCAGAAACUUCAGGUCCUGGCUUAUAAUUUAUUUCCCACUCCUCCCUGAAGUCAUCCUUGGAUACUUUCGCAUCAUGUAGCUUCUAAUUUCACAUCUUCUAUAUUUUCCCACCUCCCUCACUUGCAUGGUUUCUAUGCCUAGAAAUGUAGCCACACUGGAUUGAAAAACACU